This 297-nucleotide unclassified non-coding RNA is filed under the name uncultured fungus. Its description in RNAcentral is "sequence contains ITS2". The record is from RNAcentral. Lineage: Eukaryota; Fungi.
AACGCAUCUUGCGCCCGAUGGUACUCCGUCAGGCAUGUCUGUUUGAGUGUCUUUAAAUUCUCUCAAAACUCGAUUUUUUUUAAAAAGAUCGGACGUUUUGGAACUUGGGUCCUUUUUGGCAGGGGAUACUCUGCCGACCCGGAAGACAGGAGGCUGAUUUGCAAAAAUUGCGGUUGGACCGGGUGUUGUAGGGUUUUUUAAACCUCACUCGGGACGCAUUUUGGAAAAAUGUGCCAAACAAAACAUAUUUAAAACGAUUUUGACCUCAGAUCAGGCAGGAUUACCCGCUGAACUUAA